Gallus gallus (chicken) is the source of this 3300-nucleotide long non-coding RNA. The record is from Ensembl. Lineage: Eukaryota; Metazoa; Chordata; Aves; Galliformes; Phasianidae.
UUUGAGAAGAGAAAAUUCAUGAUCUUCACUUAAGUGGGGGAUUCUCAAAGAGAAAACGCUUGAUUUUCACUUAAAUUGACGAUUCUCAAAGCGAAAACGUGAGAUUUUCGCUUAAAUGGGGGUUUUGCGAUGGGAAAACGUGUGAUUUCUGGUUAAAUGGGGGAUUUCGGAAGAGAAAACUCGUGGUUUUUUGGGUUAAUUGGGGGAUUUGCGAAGAGAAAUCGCGUGAUUUUUGCUUAAAUGGGGGAUUUGAGAAAACACAUGAUUUUCGGGUUAAAUGGGGGAUUCUUGAAGAGAAAAUGCUUGGUUUUCUGGUUAAAUGGGGGAUUUGCAAAGAGAAAACGCGUGAUUUUCGCUUAAAUGGGGGAUUUGAGAAAACGCUUGAUUUUCUGUUAAAUGUUGGAUUCUCGAAGAGAAAACGCGUGAUUUUCGCUUAAAUGGGGGAUUUCCGAAGAGAAAACGCGUGAUUUUCAAGUUAAAUGGGGGAUUUGCGAAGAGAAAACGUGUGAUUUUCGCUUAAAUGUUGGAUUCUCGAAGAGAAAACACGUGAUUUUCGCUUAAAUGUUGGAUUCUCGAAGAGAAAACGUGAUUUUCAAGUUAAAUGGGGGAUUUCCGAAGAGAAAACGCGUGAUUUUCGCUUAAAUGGGGUAUUUGAGAAGCGAAAAUUCAUGAUCUUCACUUAAAUGGGGGAUUCUCAAAGAGAAAACGCUUGAUUUUCACUUAAAUUGACGAUUCUCAAAGAGAAAACGCGAGAUUUUCGCUUAAAUGGGGGUUUUGCGAAGGGAAAACGUGUGAUUUCUGGUUAAAUGUGGGAUUUCGGAAGAGAAAACUCGUGGUUUUUUGGGUUAAUUGGGGGAUUUGCGAAGAGAAAUCGCGUGAUUUUCGCUUAAAUGGGGAAUUUGAGAAAACACAUGAUUUUCGGGUUAAAUGGGGGAUUCUCGAAGAGAAAAUGCUUGGUUUUCUGGUUAAAUGGGGGAUUUGCGAAGAGAAAACGCGUGAUUUUCGCUUAAAUGGGGGAUUUGAGAAAACACAUGAUUUUCGGGUUAAAUGGGGGAUUCUCGAAGAGAAAAUGCUUGGUUUCCUGGUUAAAUGGGGGAUUUGCGAAGAGAAAACGCGUGAUUUUCGCUUAAAUGGGGGAUUUCCGAAGAGAAAAAGCAUGAUUUUCUGGUUAAAUGUUGGAUUCUCGAAGAGAAAACGCGUGAUUUUCGCUUAAAUGGGGGAUUUGAGAAAACGCGUGAUUUUCGUUAAAUGUUUCAUUCUCGAAGAGAAAACGCGUGAUUUUCGCUUAAAUGUUGGAUUCUCGAAGAGAAAACGCGUGAUUUUCGCUUAAAUGGGGUAUUUGAGAAGAGAAAAUUCGUGAUCUUCACUUAAGUGGGGGAUUCUCAAAGAGAAAACGCUUGAUUUUCACUUAAAUUGACGAUUCUCAAAGAGAAAACGCGAGAUUUUCGCUUAAAUGGGGGUUUUGCGAAGGGAAAACGUGUGAUUUCUGGUUAAAUGGGGGAUUUCGGAAGAGAAAACUCGUGGUUUUUUGGGUUAAUUGGGGGAUUUGCAAAGAGAAAUCGCGUGAUUUUCGCUUAAAUGGGGGAUUUGAGAAAACACAUGAUUUUCGGGUUAAAUGUUGGAUUCUCGAAGAGAAAACGCGUGAUUUUCUGCUUAAAUGGGGGAUUUCCGAAGAGAAAACGCGUGAUUUUCGCUUAAAUGGGGGAUUUGAGAAAACGCUUGAUUUUCUGGUUAAAUGUUGGAUUCUCGAAGAGAAAAUGCGUGAUUUUCGCUUAAAUGGGGGAUUUCCGAAGAGAAAAUGCGUGAUUUUCAAGUUAAAUGGGGGAUUUCCGAAGAGAAAACGUGUGAUUUUCGCUUAAAUGUUGGAUUCUCGAAGAGAAAACACGUGAUUUUCGCUUAAAUGUUGGAUUCUCGAAGAGAAAACGUGAUUUUCAAGUUAAAUGGGGGAUUUGCGAAGAGAAAACGCGUGAUUUUUCGCUUAAAUGGGGUAUUUGAGAAGAGAAAAUUCGUGAUCUUCACUUAAAUGGGGGAUUCUCAAAGAGAAAACGCUUGAUUUUCACUUAAAUUGACGAUUCUCAAAGAGAAAACGCGAGAUUUUCGCUUAAAUGGGGGUUUUGCGAAGGGAAAACGUGUGAUUUCUGGUUAAAUGGGGGAUUUCGGAAGAGAAAACUCGUGUUUUUUUGGGUUAAUUGGGGGAUUUGCGAAGAGAAAUCGCGUGAUUUUCGCUUAAAUGGGGGAUUUGAGAAAACACAUGAUUUUCGGGUUAAAUGGGGGAUUCUUGAAGAGAAAAUGCUUGGUUUUCUGGUUAAAUGGGGGAUUUGCGAAGAGAAAACGCGUGAUUUUCAAGUUAAAUGGGGGAUUUGAGAAAACGCGUGAUUUUCGUUAAAUGUUGGAUUCUCGAAGAGAAAACGCGUGAUUUUCAAGUUAAAUGGGGGAUUUCCGAAGAGAAAACGCGUGAUUUUCGCUUAAAUGGGGUAUUUGAGAAGAGAAAAUUCAUGAUCUUCACUUAAGUGGGGGAUUCUCAAAGAGAAAACGCUUGAUUUUCACUUAAAUUGACGAUUCUCAAAGAGAAAACGCGAGAUUUUCGCUUAAAUGGGGGUUUUGCGAAGGGAAAACGUGUGAUUUCUGGUUAAAUGUGGGAUUUCGGAAGAGAAAACUCGUGGUUUUUUGGGUUAAUUGGGGGAUUUGCGAAGAGAAAAUGCGUGAUUUUCGCUUAAAUGUGGGAUUUGAGAAAACACAUGAUUUUCGGGUUAAAUGGGGGAUUCUCGAAGAGAAAAUGCUUGGUUUUCUGGUUAAAUGGGGGAUUUCCGAAGAGAAAACGCGUGAUUUUCGCUUAAAUGGGGGAUUUGAGAAAACACAUGAUUUUCUAGUUAAAUGUUGGAUUCUCGAAGAGAAAACGCGUGAUUUUCGCUUAAAUGGGGGAUUUCCGAAGAGAAAACGCGUGAUUUUCAAGUUAAAUGGGGGAUUUGCGAAGAGAAAACGUGUGAUUUUCGCUUAAAUGUUGGAUUUGAGAAAACACAUGAUUUUCGGGUUAAAUGGGGGAUUCUCGAAGAGAAAAUGCUUGGUUUUCUGGUUAAAUGGGGGAUUUGCGAAGAGAAAACGCGUGAUUUUCGCUUAAAUGGGGGAUUUCCGAAGAGAAAAAGCAUGAUUUUCUGGUUAAAUGUUGGAUUCUCGAAGAGAAAAUGCGUGAUUUUCGCUUAAAUGGGGGAUUUGAGAAAACGCGUGAUUUUCGUUAAAUGUUUCAUUCUCGAAGAGAAAACGCGUGAUUUUCGCUUAAAUGUGGGAUUCUCGAAGAGAAAA